This 393-nucleotide ribosomal RNA is filed under the name uncultured bacterium. RNAcentral describes it as "partial 16S ribosomal RNA". It matches the Rfam family "Bacterial small subunit ribosomal RNA", at positions 338 to 728 of the family's 1533-position model. The record is from RNAcentral.
CCUACGGGAGGCAGCAGUGAGGAAUAUUGGUCAAUGGGCGCGAGCCUGAACCAGCCAAGUAGCGUGAAGGAUGACUGCCCUACGGGUUGUAAACUUCUUUUAUAAAGGAGUAAAGUGAGGCACGUGUGCCGUUUUGUGUGUACUUUAUGAAUAAGCAUCGGCUAACUCCGUGCCAGCAGCCGCGGUAAUACGGAGGAUCCGAGCGUUAUCCGGAUUUAUUGGGUUUAAAGGGUGCGGAGAUGGGUUGUUAAGUCAGUUGUGAAAGUUUGAGGCUCAACCGUGUAAGUGCAUUUGAUACUGGGAGUCUUGAGUACAGGUGAGGUAGGCGGAAUUCGUGGUGUAGCGGGGAAAUGCAUAGAUAUCACGCAGAACCCCGAUUGCGAAGGCAGCUUA